This 253-nucleotide ribosomal RNA is filed under the name uncultured bacterium. RNAcentral's name for it is "partial 16S ribosomal RNA". It matches the Rfam family "Bacterial small subunit ribosomal RNA", at positions 524 to 776 of the family's 1533-position model. The record is from RNAcentral.
UACGGAGGGCGCAAGCGUUGUUCGGAAUCACUGGGCGUAAAGCGCGUGUAGGCGGCCGGGCAAGUCGGGUGUGAAAUCCCGAGGCUCAACCUCGGAACUGCAUUCGAAACUGCUCGGCUCGAGUCCCGGAGAGGAUGGCGGAAUUCCCGGUGUAGGGGUGAAAUCCGUAGAUAUCGGGAGGAACACCAGCGGCGAAGGCGGCCAUCUGGACGGUGACUGACGCUGAGACGCGAAAGCGUGGGGAGCAAACAGG